Molecule: long non-coding RNA, 529 nt
Filed under: Androctonus crassicauda
Lineage: Eukaryota; Metazoa; Arthropoda; Arachnida; Scorpiones; Buthidae
Source: RNAcentral
GAAAAAAAUGCGAUAUUUAAAAUAUAUAUAUAUAUAUAAACGGUUCUAUAAUUAGAUUUCUGGGCUAUCUCUGACCUAUCAGUGUUUUCGGUAAUUAGAAAGUAUGCGAAUAUAAUUGAGUCGCGAGUCUGUCUAUCUACCAACCUAUACAAAAGUUAUUGUUACCGUAUACCUAGAGAGAUGCGUUAUCGUGGUAAUUUCAUUUUUCCAUCAGAUUAAUUAAUCGAUUAGGUUCACAAAUUACGGAAUGGCCCAAUUGCCCUCUUGUCAUUCAGCGCACAUACUGCUAUAUCCGUUUGUGACUGCGCUAUCUGAUAGGGGAGAAAGAGAGAGAGAGCGAGAGAGAGAGAGAGAAAGAGAGGCGUCAGUCACUGACCCCAACUUUAACACAGUGGAGGUAGAUACUACUCUUCAAAAAAUAUUUUUUUCCCGACCGAUAUCCAAUAUCUGCCACCGUACUUCUCCUGUUUUUUUUUUUUUUUUUUUUAUAAAUAUUUUUUUCGGUGUUUCCUCUCGGCCAAAGCGGUUC